CGAUAGCAUUACUGUGGUGUUCCGGAUAAUUUAACUAUAUAGGUAUAAUAAUAAAAUAAUUAUUAUAAAAUAUUUAAUUCUAACGCGAAUACGGUUUUUUUUUUUGUGUAUGUAACGACGCAAUAAUAAUAUAUUCCACGUACGUAUACGUAUAGUACUUGCGUACGAGUGGAAAAACACUUAACAACGAUAAAAAAUAAAAAUAAAAAAAACCGUGCGCAUUAACCUCAAUAUCUCCAUAAAAACUAUCCCCACUAAAAUAAUAGCAGGGAAUUUACUCGACAAGCGUAAUACGUAUAAUAUCGUAUUUUAUAUCGAUAAAGCGAAUUCGAUCGAACUCUCCUACCGUGUAAUAGUUAUUAUCUUGUUAAACCUUCUAAUAUGAUUGUGCAGUAGUGUGCGGGCACAACUAUUACACCUCUAGCAUUCCCAAAACGAUCGCCACUGGCUAUAUUGAUCGCCUCAUUAUGUGUCGCCAUAUGGAAAUUAAAAAGUACAAUGUUGGUGUCAAUUUUGUUAAAAAAAAAAAGUAAU
Non-coding RNA from Cinara cedri, 534 nucleotides. The record is from the annotation of a GenBank genome assembly. Lineage: Eukaryota; Metazoa; Arthropoda; Insecta; Hemiptera; Aphididae.